Molecule: ribosomal RNA, 494 nt
Filed under: uncultured Bacteroidota bacterium
Lineage: Bacteria; Pseudomonadati; Bacteroidota
Description: bacterial SSU rRNA
Rfam family: Bacterial small subunit ribosomal RNA
Source: RNAcentral
CACAGUAGGGAAUAUUGGUCAAUGGAUGCAAGUCUGAACCAGCCAUGCCGCGUGCAGGAAGAAGGCCUUCUGGGUUGUAAACUGCUUUUGCCGGGGGAUAAAAAUUCCAUGCGUGGACAAUUGAAGGUACCCGGUGAAUAAGCCACGGCUAACUACGUGCCAGCAGCCGCGGUAAUACGUAGGUGGCAAGCGUUGUCCGGAUUUAUUGGGUUUAAAGGGUGCGUAGGCGGCCUAUUAAGUCAGUUCUGAAAUAUCCCGGCUUAACCGGGAGGGUGGGAUUGAUACUGAUGGGCUUGAGUGGAGUCGAGGUAGGCGGAAUUGACGGUGUAGCGGUGAAAUGCUUAGAUAUCGUCAAGAACACCGAUAGUGUAGACAGCUUACUAGACUUCAACUGACGGUGAGGCACGAAAGUGUGGGGAUCAAACAGGAUUAGAUACCCUGGUAGUCCACACUGUAAACGUUGAUUACUCGCUGUGUGCGAUAAACAGUACGCG